UACAGAGACUGCAAGCGUUAUUCGGAUUCACUGGGCGUAAAGGGUGCGCAGGCGGUUGGGUGUGUCAGAUGUGAAAUCCCGAGGCUCAACCUCGGAACUGCGUCUGAAACUACUCGACUAGAGUACUGGAGAGGGUAACGGAAUUCACGGUGUAGCAGUGAAAUGCGUAGAUAUCGUGAGGAACACCGAUGGCGAAGGCAGGUCUCUGGGCUGACACUGACGCUCAUGCACGAAAGCGUGGGGAGCAAACAGG
RNAcentral lists this ribosomal RNA (253 nucleotides) under uncultured bacterium. Its description in RNAcentral is "partial 16S ribosomal RNA". It matches the Rfam family "Bacterial small subunit ribosomal RNA", at positions 524 to 776 of the family's 1533-position model. The record is from RNAcentral.